RNAcentral lists this transfer RNA (68 nucleotides) under Carassotrema koreanum. Its description in RNAcentral is "tRNA-Glu". The record is from RNAcentral. Lineage: Eukaryota; Metazoa; Platyhelminthes; Trematoda; Plagiorchiida; Haploporidae.
UGCAGGUCUGUUGUAAAUUUUUAGCAUAGCAGCUUUUCGUGCUGUUGGUGAGGAGUCUCGUCCUGUAA